GAUGAACGCUGGCGGCGUGCCUAAUACAUGCAAGUCGAGCGAACAGACGAGGAGCUUGCUCCUCUGACGUUAGCGGCGGACGGGUGAGUAACACGUGGAUAACCUACCUAUAAGACUGGGAUAACUUCGGGAAACCGGAGCUAAUACCGGAUAAUAUAUUGAACCGCAUGGUUCAAUAGUGAAAGACGGUUUUGCUGUCACUUAUAGAUGUAUCCGCGCCGCAUUAGCUAGUUGGUAAGGUAACGGCUUACCAAGGCGACGAUGCGUAGCCGACCUGAGAGGAUGAUCAGCCACACUGGAACUGAGACACGGUCCAGACUCCUACGGGAGGCAGCAGUAGGGAAUCUUCCGCAAUGGGCGAAAGCCUGACGGAGCAACGCCGCGUGAGUGAUGAAGGUCUUCGGAUCGUAAAACUCUGUUAUUAGGGAAGAACAAAUGUGUAAGUAACUAUGCACGUCUUGACGGUACCUAAUCAGAAAGCCACGGCUAACUACGUG
This 497-nucleotide ribosomal RNA is filed under the name uncultured bacterium. RNAcentral's name for it is "partial 16S ribosomal RNA". It matches the Rfam family "Bacterial small subunit ribosomal RNA", at positions 28 to 507 of the family's 1533-position model. The record is from RNAcentral.